CUCGUAGGCGGUUCGUCGCGUCCGGUGUGAAAGUCCAUCGCUUAACGGUGGAUCUGCGCCGGGUACGGGCGGGCUGGAGUGCGGUAGGGGAGGACUGGAAUUCCCGGUGUAACGGUGGAAUGUGUAGAUAUCGGGAAGAACACCAAUGGCGAAGGCAGGUCUCUGGGCCGUUACUGACGCUGAGGAGCGAAAGCGUGGGGAGCGAACA
This 208-nucleotide ribosomal RNA is filed under the name uncultured bacterium. RNAcentral describes it as "partial 16S ribosomal RNA". It matches the Rfam family "Bacterial small subunit ribosomal RNA", at positions 568 to 774 of the family's 1533-position model. The record is from RNAcentral.